GACGAACGCUGGCGGCGUGCUUAACACAUGCAAGUCGAACGGUGAAAGCGGAGCUUGCUCCGCUGGAUCAGUGGCGAACGGGUGAGUAACACGUGGGCAACCUGCCCCUCACUUCGGGAUAACUCCGGGAAACCGGGGCUAAUACCGGAUAUGACCUCCUUGGGCAUCCUUGGAGGUGGAAAGUUUUUCGGUGGGGGAUGGGCCCGCGGCCUAUCAGCUUGUUGGUGAGGUAGUGGCUCACCAAGGCGACGACGGGUAGCCGGCCUGAGAGGGCGACCGGCGACACUGGGACUGAGACACGGCCCAGACUCCUCCGGGAGGCAGCAGUGGGGAAUAGUGCGCAAUGGGCGAAAGCCUGACGCAGCAACGCCGCGUGCGGGAUGACGGCCUUCGGGUUGUAAACCGCUUUCAGCAGGGAAGAAGCCGCAAGGUGACGGUACCUGCAGAAGAAGCACCGGCUAACUACGUGCCAGCCGCCGCCGUAA
This 485-nucleotide ribosomal RNA is filed under the name uncultured bacterium. Its description in RNAcentral is "partial 16S ribosomal RNA". It matches the Rfam family "Bacterial small subunit ribosomal RNA", at positions 28 to 523 of the family's 1533-position model. The record is from RNAcentral.